AUCGACGGCGUGGUUUGGCACCUCGAUGUCGGCUCGUCGCAUCCUGGGGCUGGAGCAGGUCCCAAGGGUCGGGCUGUUCGCCCGUUAAAGCGGCACGCGAGCUGGGUUUAGAACGUCGUGAGACAGUUCGGUCCCUAUCCGCCGCAGGCGCAGGAGACUUGAGGGGAGCUGUCCCUAGUACGAGAGGACCGGGAUGGACGUACCUCUGGUGUGCCAGUUGUUCUGCCAAGAGCACGGCUGGUUAGCUACGUACGGACGGGAUAAGCGCUGAAGGCAUCUAAGUGCGAAGCCCACCCCAAGAUGAGGUCUCCCACGGGUAUUACCCGGUAAGGCCCCUGGCAGAACACCAGGUUGAUAGGCCGGAAGUGUAAGCGCAGCAAUGUGUUCAGCUGACCGGUACUAAUAGGCCGAGGGCUUGGACA
RNAcentral lists this ribosomal RNA (422 nucleotides) under Acidimicrobiia bacterium. RNAcentral describes it as "partial 23S ribosomal RNA". It matches the Rfam family "Bacterial large subunit ribosomal RNA", at positions 2504 to 2925 of the family's 2925-position model. The record is from RNAcentral. Lineage: Bacteria; Bacillati; Actinomycetota; Acidimicrobiia.